This 72-nucleotide transfer RNA is filed under the name Camelus bactrianus (Bactrian camel). It matches the Rfam family "tRNA". From Rfam's summary of the family: Transfer RNA (tRNA) molecules are approximately 80 nucleotides in length. Their secondary structure includes four short double-helical elements and three loops (D, anti-codon, and T loops). Further hydrogen bonds mediate the characteristic L-shaped molecular structure. tRNAs have two regions of fundamental functional importance: the anti-codon, which is responsible for specific mRNA codon recognition, and the 3' end, to which the tRNAs corresponding amino acid is attached (by aminoacyl-tRNA synthetases). tRNAs cope with the degeneracy of the genetic code in two manners: having more than one tRNA (with a specific anti-codon) for a particular amino acid; and 'wobble' base-pairing, i.e. permitting non-standard base-pairing at the 3rd anti-codon position. The record is from Rfam by way of RNAcentral. RNAcentral also lists the same sequence under 2 other names. Lineage: Eukaryota; Metazoa; Chordata; Mammalia; Artiodactyla; Camelidae.
GAGGAUAGAGCUCAGUGGUAAAGCAUAUGCUUAGCAUGCAUGAGGUCCUGGGUUCAAUCCCCAGUACCUCCA